UUCGCCAAGCUUUUCGCCAAGGUGCUCUCUCUCCGUCUUGCACCCAGGCUCGGCGACAUGGUCUCCACCAAUCAGAGUGCGUUCAUCGUGGGCAGAUGCAUUCAUGAUAAUUUCUUGCUCGUCCAGCAAAAGACACGACAUCUUCACAACCUCAAGCAGCCGCGCGCCAUGCUCAAGCUUGACAUUGCCCGCGCAUUCGACUCUGUCUCUUGGGCUUUUCUGCUAGACACCCUCCGCCACCUUGGCAUCGGUCGACGAUGGCGCGAAUGGGUUUGCAUCCUCCUCGGCACGGCUAGCACGCGCAUCCUCGUCAACGGCACCCCGGGGCUGCCAAUCCUCCACAUGCGUGGCUUUCGGCAAGGGGACCCCCUGUCCCCUAUGCUAUUCAUCAUGGUGAUUGACACCCUCAACAAUUUGCUCUAUUGGGACGUCGCCAGCGGCGUGCUCCAACGCCUUACCUCACGCCACAUGGCCUCGAUUAUUUCCCUCUAUGCCGAUGACGUGAUCGUCUUCUGCCGGCCGAACAAGCAGGACCUCUCGGUCGUCCGUCGGCUGCUCACCCUCUUCGGCAAUGCAUCUGGGAUGUACACCAACUUCAACAAGUGUGCGGCCUCCCCAAUCCAAUGCACGCCCGAGGAACGCCUGGCAAUCUCAUCCCACUUUGCAUGA
This 669-nucleotide ribosomal RNA is filed under the name Triticum aestivum (bread wheat). Its description in RNAcentral is "partial small subunit ribosomal RNA". The record is from RNAcentral. Lineage: Eukaryota; Viridiplantae; Streptophyta; Magnoliopsida; Poales; Poaceae.